GUGACAAGUAACGCAUAAUUUGUGCAUUCUAUGUUGCAAUGAUAAAAAACAAUACAUGUGAGAGGAGAAAUACAAUGUAGCUAUUUGAAUAAGCAUUUAACAUGUUUAUCUUUUUCAUUUUCAGUUUCAAAUCUAGCCAACACGGCAACAGAUUUCUGCAGGCCAUGGGGAUAAAAAUAUCACAGAACUGUUGGAUCAGCUCUCAUAGUACCAGCUUUCUUCUGAUGAACUUCCCAGUUUUAACCAGGCAAUAGCAAUGGGAGCAAUGGCAGAGAUAAUAGAUGACAUUUUACAUUGCCAAAAAACACCAACAUUAUGACAUUCUUUCAAAUCUUGAUGAAGCUAAUUCAGUCAAAUAUCAAUUCCUACUGUGGGAGAGCCUU
RNAcentral lists this long non-coding RNA (383 nucleotides) under Mytilus galloprovincialis (Mediterranean mussel). Lineage: Eukaryota; Metazoa; Mollusca; Bivalvia; Mytilida; Mytilidae. The record is from RNAcentral.